AGGAAUGUUCACAGUCCAAGAUGAAUAAGAUAGCUGUUUUAGCUGUUUUAGUACUACAUCGUGUAUUUACUCCUCAGCUGUUUUAGCAUGAAUAGCUAUCUUAUUCAUCUUGGACUGGGAACAUUCC
This is a non-coding RNA of Gossypium hirsutum (cotton), 127 nucleotides long. The record is from Rfam. NCBI's taxonomy places the organism in Eukaryota, Viridiplantae, Streptophyta, Magnoliopsida, Malvales, Malvaceae.